Molecule: ribosomal RNA, 490 nt
Filed under: uncultured bacterium
Lineage: Bacteria
Description: partial 16S ribosomal RNA
Rfam family: Bacterial small subunit ribosomal RNA
Source: RNAcentral
AUUGAACGCUGGCGGCAGGCCUAACACAUGCAAGUCGAACGGUAACAGAAAGCAGCUUGCUGCUUUGCUGACGAGUGGCGGACGGGUGUGUAAUGUCUGGGAAACUGCCUGAUGGAGGGGGAUAACUACUGGAAACGGUAGCUAAUACCGCAUAACGUCGCAAGACCAAAGAGGGGGACCUUCGGGCCUCUUGCCAUCGGAUGUGCCCAGAUGGGAUUUGCUAGUAGGUGGGGUAAAGGCUCACCUAGGCGACGAUCCCUAGCUGGUCUGAGAGGAUGACCAGCCACACUGGAACUGAGACACGGUCCAGACCCCUACGGGAGGCAGCAGUGGGGAAUAUUGCACAAUGGGCGCAAGCCUGAUGCAGCCAUGCCGCGUGUAUGAAGAAGGCCUUCGGGUUGUAAAGUACUUUCAGCGGGGAGGAAGGGAGUAAAGUUAAUACCUUUGCUAAUUGACGUUACCCGCAGAAGAAGCACCGGCUAACUCCGUG